RNAcentral lists this ribosomal RNA (484 nucleotides) under uncultured bacterium. Its description in RNAcentral is "partial 16S ribosomal RNA". It matches the Rfam family "Bacterial small subunit ribosomal RNA", at positions 28 to 523 of the family's 1533-position model. The record is from RNAcentral.
GACGAACGCUGGCGGCGUGCUUAACACAUGCAAGUCGAACGAUGAAGCUAGAGCUUGCUCUGGUGGAUUAGUGGCGAACGGGUGAGUAACACGUGAGUAGCCUGCCCCGAACUCUGGGAUAACUGCUGGAAACGGUAGCUAAUACUGGAUACGACCAACGAAGGCAUCUUCUGUUGGUGGAAAGAAUUUCGGUUCGGGAUGGACUCGCGGCCUAUCAGCUUGUUGGUGAGGUAACGGCUCACCAAGGCGACGACGGGUAGCCGGCCUGAGAGGGUGAUCGGCCACACUGGGACUGAGGCACGGCCCAGACUCCUACGGGAGGCAGCAGUGGGGAAUAUUGCACGAUGGGCGCAAGCCUGAUGCAGCAACGCCGCGUGAGGGACGACGGCCUUCGGGUUGUAAACCUCUUUUAGUAGGGAAGAAGCGAAAGUGACGGUACCUGCAGAAAAAGCACCGGCUAACUACGUGCCAGCCGCCGCGGUAA